UGGUGGAGUGAUUUGUCUGGUUAAUUCCGUUAACGAACGAGACCUUGACCGGCUAAAUAGUCGGGCAGUUUUCGAACUGUCUCAAUUCAAAGACUUCUUAGAGGGACUGUUGGUGUUUAACCAAAGUCAGUAAGGCAAUAACA
RNAcentral lists this ribosomal RNA (143 nucleotides) under uncultured eukaryote. RNAcentral describes it as "partial 18S ribosomal RNA". It matches the Rfam family "Eukaryotic small subunit ribosomal RNA", at positions 1299 to 1458 of the family's 1831-position model. The record is from RNAcentral.